CUACGGGGCGCUGCAGUGAGGAAUAUUGGUCAAUGGGCGCAAGCCUGAACCAGCCAAUCCGCGUGCAGGAUGAAUGCCCUAUGGGUUGUAAACUGCUUUUAUACAGGAAGAAUCCUUCAUACGUGUAUGGAGCUGACUGUACUGUAAGAAUAAGCAUCGGCUAACUCCGUGCCAGCAGCCGCGGUAAUACGGAGGAUGCGAGCGUUAUCCGGAUUUAUUAGGUCUAAAGGGUGCGUAGGCGGAUAAUUAAGUCAGUGGUGAAAUCCUGCAGCUUAACUGUAGAACUGCCAUUGAUACUGGUUGUCUUGAGUUUAGUUGAGGUAAGCGGAAUGUGUAGUGUAGCGGUGAAAUGCUUAGAUAUUACACAGAACACCGAUUGCGAAGACAGCUUACUAAGCUACAACUGACGCUGAGGCACGAAAGCGUGGGGAGCGAACAGGAUUAGAUACCCCUGUAGUC
Molecule: ribosomal RNA, 459 nt
Filed under: uncultured bacterium
Lineage: Bacteria
Description: partial 16S ribosomal RNA
Rfam family: Bacterial small subunit ribosomal RNA
Source: RNAcentral